This is a long non-coding RNA of Lynx canadensis (Canada lynx), 3991 nucleotides long. RefSeq lists it as uncharacterized. The record is from RefSeq and is a predicted model, not a curated record. NCBI's taxonomy places the organism in Eukaryota, Metazoa, Chordata, Mammalia, Carnivora, Felidae. The transcript has 5 exons.
AUGGGGCUCGAACCCAUGAACUGCAAGAUCAUGACCUGAGCCGAAGUCGGACGCUCAACCACCACAGCCACCACGUGCCCCUCUUCCCUGAUGCUUCUGUUGUCAAUUUGAAGAAGUGCCUCUUCCAAAUAUGCCACAUCUGUUCAGCACCCUCUGAACUCCUACCUGCAGAUCUCUCUUCUUGGACCGCAUUCCACACUCGGCCCGCUCUGAGUCCCCACUUCGAGGCUUGCCUUCGUGAGAAAGACCUCCCCCAGUUCUCCCCAGAUAUUAACUGAACCGAUUUGAUGCCGGGCUCUGGCACAUGGGGUGAACAAGAUCCAUGAGGGCGUCUCCCUUAUGCCCCUUAGAGCAGGACAGACGUUCACCAAACACAAAGCUUCUGCUACGCAUCAGGUUUGGAGACUGUAGAUCUAAUCAGCGUCCACUCCUCAAUCACACGCACACGCGGAUGGCGGAGAGUGCGUACUUUAUGAUAUCUGAGGAGGAGGAUGCUACGGGUGCCCUCCGAGAAUCACAGCUAACGUCACCCAUCAAAACACGAGUCAAAAAUAGCCCAUGAUAAUAACAACGUCGACUAUAAAUCCCACUCGCUAGAUCACUGAAGAUACCACGAGAAGCUUUCUGAGCUCCCAGUGACCUAGUCCAAACUGUGACCUGGACCACUCAUAUCAGAGCCAUUAAAAAUUCAGAUUCCUGGGCCCGGGCAAGACCAACUGAAACCGAAUUUCUGAGGAACUAAGAAGUCUGCAUUUUAACAGAAUCUGAGGUGAUCCUCACGCAUGAUCAGGACUGAGAGUCACUGAUUUGGAUGGAUGCCGUUAUCCAUCCCUGUAACCACACCGCCCAGCAUGAAGAAGAGGUUAAACAAAUGUACGCUGAAUGGAAGCCUGAAUGGCAGGACAGCCCUUUCCCAUGGGACUGAGAAAAACAAAUCUGAGGAACCGCCUCAGCCGUGACAAGAGGCCAGGAAGAGACUACGAGAAGUAGCGAAAGAAAGGAAGAGAGAUCAGACGCUGUGUCGCGGGUCCAGAGGAGAAGCUGAAGAAUGGGGGCUGUGAGGGGGCAGAAGGCCACGGUGCUGAAAGGAAGAGCCAGAAUGAAGAAAACAAGAAGGAAGGGCAACGGGAUAGAGGCAAACCCAAAUGUCCCAAGGUGCUUUGCAUGCAAAUGCUUUUGAGCCCCAACCACUCCAGAAGGCAAGCAGGGCCAUUAGAAGGUUAAAAGAAGACCCACGCAGUCAGUCUCUGAGGGCAAGAAGGCAGAUCCUAAGAGCAUCAGGGGACCGUUCAUCGUCCAAACGCAAUGCAAGGGAAAAUAUCAGCAAGUGGAAUUAUGCUGCAAGAACCUCGACUAUAAUGUCACGGGGAAUGAGUCCAAGAGACGUUUUAAUGACAACUCCAAUGCCAGGGAUCAAAGAGUAUGACAUAAGCUUUAAGAGCAGGGCAAUUAAGAAUGUGUUUUGGAAGGAAAAUCUGGAAGAAAAAAAUGCGUACUACCAGCUGUGGUAAUGCCGUUGAGUAGACCAAGGAGGAAAAUAAACACAUAUAGUUAGAAACAAAAUGGCUGCACUUAUAAAUGUUGGCUAAACGAGAGGUUAGAAAGAUCACUCUAUCGUUCUACCAAAGCAUGCCCGCAACUGAGACCAGAUUUGGCAUUCGACGCCCUUGGGUUGAAAACCCAGGUCUUCUACUUACCACCUCUGUGAACGUGGGUGACUUUCUCAAGCCAUUGAGAGACUGUUUGAGACUCUGCUUCUUUAUCUGUGAAAAGAAGAUAGUAGUACCUACUUUAUGAGGGUUGUUGCUAGGAUUAAAGGGCCUAAAGUAUACCUAGUGCUUCAGAACAGUGGCUUUACAAAGAUUCUAUAAAUGAUGGCAGUGGUAGUGGGGUCACGGUUAGUACCAUUCAGUUUCACGAAGAUACCCUUUUCAGGUACCCAUGCCCUGUUCCCCCAAGUAGAUUUUACCCUCCAAAAGGAGCCGUGCAAAUCUGUCAGAUUAGCCCGACCGAAACAACGCCAGAAUCUGGUCUCUUAUUCUGAGCUGUCUGUGUGCAAGACAGCGUGAAGAGCCCGAUUAAGGUGCUCAAGCCAGGAUUCCCAUUCCAUGGUCCCUUCCAUUCCAGUGCCAGAAAUGAAGCGGCAGACCUCCCUGUGGCCCAAGGCAGACUUGCAGGAGCGCCAUGGGAGCAUCACAACCAGUGGGCCCGGGGUUAGCGGAGAGCACAGUCAUUCACGGCUAGCACCGUGGAAAAGGAGGCAAUUUACCAGACAGUCCUGACAAAAUGACUGAAUGGAUCCCAGAGACACUGAGCCCGGGUACAUCCCUCAUAAAUCAUAGUUGAAGGACAAGUGCAGAUGACCAUGGUUUGUACAAGUAUCUCUGGUCUGGGACAAGGGGUCCAGAGGAGACAACCCGCUGCCCAGCCAGGGGAGAAGAGAAGGGCCGAGGCAAUCAGAUGUCGUCCAGGCAGAUAGGAGUCAGGGUCUGUGGCAAGACUGAGCCAGAGGCAUGAAGACAGACUCUGAAAGGCAGGCCGGAUGCAGUGUUGGGGCCAAGGCUGACUUUUGUUAGGAGAGCGCCAAACCUGGAAACGAAGCCAGGAGAGAAGUAAACAUGUGAAGAGAACAACUGCAUUCUUUCAGAGUGAGAGAGAAGGAUUGAGAAAGAAGGACAGACAGGAAGACAAAUGGAAGGAGAGACUGACCGACCGAAAGAGAGGGACUAACAGGCAGACUGGUCGACAAAGAUGGAGACUGACAGAGACAGAACAGACUAGCCUGGCUGGCUUUCCCUUCCUGGGUCCCACGCGUGGUGGACACAUGGCUGCGGAGUUGGGGAACGGCUCCCCGAGAAGGUGGGGCAGGGGCUGGGCAUGCCGCAGCGGGGAGACCAGAUGUCAGGAGAGGGGGGCCCCAAGAGUCAGAGCUUUCCUUCAAACUUCCCAACAGAUUCUUGAACAUAAUUAUAGAAGCAACGCAGACUCCAGCCCAGCAUCUUUGUUUUCCUUGUGCCAUGCUGUUCUCAGGGCAUCUGAGUCCUCAGCAAGGAACUGUCACAUUCAUUUCAUUCUAUAAGAAGACAGAAAGCUUUGAUGGCAUUCUGCUAAGAAAGCUGGAAUCAGGGUACAGAUCUCCCAAAUAGGACGAGUAUUUUUUUAGGGUAGUUGUUCAGCAGAGGCAGGACAGUGGCUGAUGUCACCACCCCAGUGUGAACAGCGCGUAAGCAGCCCUGCUCUCUGCUCCUGCCUUGGCCACAAACUAGCUCUGUGAUCUUGGACAACUGACUUGACCUAUCUGGAGAUCUGUCUGUAAAUUCACAAAACGAGGAGAUUGAACUGGCUGUCUUUCAGGCUUGCUUGCGGUGCUGCUACCAUUUUAGAUUCUGUGGUCCCACAAACCCCUAGUUAUUUAUACAUCAGGCUUUUUCGCAACACCUGAAUAGUAUUGCCAACUAUGUCAAUAAUAUUUUAUUUAUUAUAUUACUAUGAAGUGAAUAGGUUAUUUAUCUUGUCCCAGGACAACUUGUACUUGAAUACAAUUUCAACAUGCAUAGUAAAUCUCUCCUCCUGUGAACUCCAAAAGCAUUUAAAUCUAGACACCUCUUGGUACUCACCACAUUCUGCUUUAGGCUAUGCUUAUUCAGGAACAUGCCUUAUUGUCCAUUACUAGAUGCUAAGCUCCCCAAACGCUACCUGGAAACCCAGCUGCAAAGAGAAAGAACGGAGCUACCAAGGCCGCUUUCACCUUUGCAGGUCCAAGAGCAUACGCGGCGCGUUUAGUGCGUGUUUGUGGAGCAAACAUCUAUUUGGAAAGGAUGCAAAACUUAAAAGGAAUUCAUCAAAUGAACCUAAUGAAAUCCCAUCCUUGGCUGCCCCCACCCCAACACAGCAGCGCGGCUAACCUAACACCUUUGCCUAGAACUAAUAAAUAUUGACCAACUUGAACGCAAAUGGCCUCUAGCCUCAAUGCUGCCGAAAAGUUUGGGAA